AACGGUCUAUACCUGCGGUACCUGCGGAAGGAUCAUUACCGAGUCCCCUGCUUGCAGGAACUCCACCCUUGGUUACUGCCGUUGCUUCGGCGAGACGUUGGAAACAGCCAUCGGCAUGCCGAUGCGCGCUCGCCGGAGUCAAACUCCUGAACUAUGUGUGGUCAGAGAAUCAAGCAAUCUUGAAAACUUUCAACAACGGAUCUCU
This 205-nucleotide unclassified non-coding RNA is filed under the name soil metagenome. RNAcentral's name for it is "partial contains 5.8S ribosomal RNA, internal transcribed spacer 2, and large subunit ribosomal RNA". The record is from RNAcentral.